ACAAUUACAAAAAGAGAAAAACACGCAAAAUCCAUCAUACCCCUCACCUCUGCUGCUUCUUCCUCUUCAUUUCACCUUCUUAACACUCAUUUUCUCAGAAAAAACACCCACGGACUUUGACCUCACUCAGAUACGCCUACAAACACAUACCGGCAAUCGAGAAUCUCCCCGGAUUCGGUCCUUUCGGUUGUGAACGAGCAGAGAGAGGAGCUGAACAGAGGAUUUGAAAUCAUGGGGGUUUCUCUCGAAAUUCCGGGGUAAAAUUUGGGAAAAUCAGGUAGAAACUUUCAUUGAGAAAAUCGAAAUACAAGAAAACAUUCCAUUUCCUUUGUAGAUCUUUUGAUUUGAAGUGGAAGGAAGCUGAGGUGGAGAGAUUGAAUUGUUGAGUUGCUGUCCGCGUUUUCGAAUCUCAGUUGGUUCCUGCUUUAGCUGUCAAAGUGCAAAUCUCUGGCUGUUUAUCGUUGAUGUUGCUGGAUCCCAAAAGGGUAUUGAAUUCUUUUGUCUUUCUGCGUUUAGGUAAGUUCUACACUUUGUAAUUAUAAUGAACUAAAAUAUGGUGUCUCGAUUUCCCUAUCAUGUAUUUAUUUUGCUUGUUUGUUAGUGAUGCCACAAUCUCUCUUAGGUGUAUUUGAUGUUGCAUUUUACUUAGCUGCUAUUUGUAGUUGAAUGAAUUUAAAGUCGGCUUAUGUGCAGUAGCUCGAAGUACAACACCCAUAUGGAUCAACUCGAUAUCUAUGGUCAAUUAAUGGUCACUACGCAUCAUUAGUUGUUAAACCAUUUGUUAGUCUUAAAUGAGGUGGAAGUUUUGUUUAAAUUUUUGUAGAUUUAGCUAUAAUUCAAACAGAAGGUUAUCAUAGUGUCAUUAGUGAAUACAUGGCUAUCAUUUGCAUAUCUGACCACUAACCGGUUAUAUCAGUUAAAUCUAAAGCUAAGGAUUGGAAUUGAAGUCGUUUAUGUAAAGAAGUUUAAGAUGAAGAUUAGCUGUGCCCUGUUGAGAAUAGCUAUUAUUGCUUUCUGGAUAUAUUAGAAUGUAUUAUGCUCAUUAUCAUUUUUGAGAAUUGUAAUUGAAGUGACUAGAACUGUAACUUCCAUUUAUAUUUGUUGCAUUUUCCAUCAAUUGGUAAUUUUGCUUAUUCUCUUUGUUUUUGCGGUUUCCAACUACCGUUACUUCCUGAGUGCUUCUCUAUUCAAUGGCGAAGUUUAGUGGUCAUUACACUUUCGAGAUUUUAGAUUAAUGUAGUAAUAUUAGUUCUACUUUGAUGGAAUACAUCUCAUAGUUGGUCACGAAGAGCAAAUAGAGGGCUAGCAAGUAUCUACCUACAAUUAAUAAAUUAUCGUGACUACGGGCCCUCGCUUAGUUGUUUCUAUUAAAAUGCUUAGAAUCCAGGCAGGGGGCGUUUACCGAAUUUCAUGGCCCCCUCAAAAGAUUACAACGCGUUAGACUCUAUUACAUCCGGCUUUAAUAAAUUACAUUCCUAAAUACGGGUGGGCAUUUGAUGCGGCCCAAAUCCUAAAACGUUUAAUAGAGUGUGCUUAGGAUUGCAGGUUCAUUUGAUGCGGCGCAAUCCGAACACACACUUUAAAAAACGUUUACUUUCUCAAAUAAAUAUUAUAUUAAUAAAGCAGUUAAAGAUAAAUUGGCACAUAGGCUCUUCAUGUAAUAAAAUCAGAUAAAAGCUAAAUGCAACAGUUGAGCGACUGUGCUAGAACCACGGAAUCCGGGAAUGCCUAACACCUUCUCCCGGGUUAACACAAUUCCUUAUCUGGAUUUUUGGUUCGCAGACUGUUAACAGAGUCAUGACUUUUCUCGGUUCGGGAUUCAACCGGUGACUUGGGACACCAUUAAUCUCUCAUGUGGCACUCUGAAUAAAUAAUAAAGAAAUUCUGUUCUGAUUGUCCUUUAAGUGGAAGAACUCCUUUACGCCAUUUUGCGGGGUGUACAGCGAAAAAGGAGGUGUGACAAUCCCUCUGCUUGAACAAGUGCUGCAAACUAUGGUGGUCCAUAUAAACCUCACAGGACACCCCAUACAAGUAAUGUAUCCAAAUCUUAAGAGCAUGAAAAGUUGCUGCCAACUCCAAAUUAUGCACAGGGUAAUUCUUCUCAUUAACAUGCUGAAAUGAAGCUUACGAAAUAACUCACCUCUCCUGCAUCAAUACGCAUCCCAGGUCAACACACGAAGCGUCGCAAUGAACUGUAUAAAUCCCUAAACCGGAAGGCAGUACUAGAACUGGUGUUGUGGUCAAAGCUGUCUUGAGCUUCUGAAAGCUCGCUUCACACUCGUCGGACCAACAGAAAGGGGCACCCUUCUAGGUCAUCUAGUCAAAGGUGCUGCAAUAGAUGAAAAACCCUGCACAAAUUGGCGAUAAUAACCUGUUAAACCCAGGAAACUCCUGAUCUCAAUCAUUGAAGUAGCACGUGGCCAACUCAAAACUACCUCAAUCUUCUUAGGAUCCACCUUAAUACCAUCUCCGGAUACAACAUACCCCAAGACUGCUACUAACUCAAGCCAAAGCUCACACUUGGAGAACUUGGCAUAUAGAUUCUUCUCUCGUAGUGUCUAAAGCACUACUCUCAAAUGCUGCUCGUGCUCCCCCGGGCUACGUGAGUAGAUCAAGAUGUUGUUAAUGAUGACAAUAACAAAGGAAUCAACAUAAGACCUGAACACCCUGUUCAUCAAGUCCAUAAACACCGAUGGGGCACUAAUCAAGACGAAAGACAUCACCAGGAACUCAUAAUGGCCAUAUCUAGUAUGGAAGAAAGUCUUCGGGACACAGCUGAUGAUACCCUGAUCUCAAGUCGAUCUUAGAAAACACCCUAGCACCCUGCAAUUAGUCAAACAAAUCAUUGAUAUGAGGCAAACAGCUACUUGUUCUUGAUGGUGACUUUGUUCAACUAGCAGUAAUUAAUGUACAUCCACAUAGUUUCCUCCUUCUUCUUCACAAAUAACACUAGUACACCCCAAGAUGAUACACCAGGUCUCACAAACCCCUUUGUUAAAAAAUCCUCAGUUGCUCCUUCAACUCUUUCAUAGCCAUAUGGUACGGUGGAACAGAUAUAGGUUAGAUACCUGGAGCCAAAUCAAUGCAGAAAUCAAUGUCACGAUAUAAUGGCAUGCUUAGAAGGUCAGAAGGAAACACAUAGGCGAACUCACAAACUAUUGGCACUAAAUCAAUCAUUAGAGACUCUACGAUGGUGACCCAAACAUAUGCUUGAUAUGCCAAACAACCCUUCUCUACUAGAUGUCGAGCCUUCAAAAAAAAAGAGAUAACCUGACUAGAUGAACUAACGGAGGAACCAUUCCACUCCAAUAUCGGCAACUCUAGCAUCGAUAAAGUAAUAGUCUUGGCAUGACAGUCAAGAAUGACAUGAUAUAGAGAUAACCAAUCAAUGCCCAAGAUGACCUCAAAGUCGAUCAUGUCAAGUAACAGGAGAUCCGCCCUAUUUUCGUAGCCACACAGGACCGAUAGAUCCGAUCCACAACCACAUAAUUGCCCACAUUAGUGGACACAUAAACAAGAGUAUCCAAGGAAUGACGAGGAAUAUCCAGGAAAUGAGCAAACAGAUGAAUAUGUAGACCCUGGAUCAAACAAUACCGAAACAUCCCUACUACAUACACAAAUAGUACAUAUGAUCACGGUAUUUGAGGCCACUACAUCUGGUCUGGCCUAAAAAGAAUAGAAUCUAGCUGGAGUGCCAGCUGGAUGGCCUUCUGCGAGCCGAACAACGGUUGAAUGACCUCCCCCUGUAUGGCCUCCACCUCUAGGAUGGCCCCUGCUAGCCCGUUCUCCACCUUUGGGUGUCCUGACGGCUGGUGCUAUAAUCAUAGGCUGAUAAACCUAUUGUACUGCCUUGCCUUGAAUUUCGGGACAAAAUCUCUUCAUGUAACCUGGAUCCCCAAACUCAUAACAACCCCGUGGUUCCAUAGACUGUUUUCCUGAAGUCUGAGCCUGCUAGCCUGAAUACCCACUAGAAGAACCAGAAUGGUUAAUGGGUGGUAUGAACUCAUUGGCAUAUCACCAAAGUAAAUACUGGAGCAACCCGGAUGACGAGAAUACCCGCUAGAGAAGCCCUGAAUAGCUGGUGUGUGGUAAGAACUCUCCGGCAUCGCAUUGAAUUAAGGCCUCACUGGAGAACCUCGAUGAGGUGGUAGUGGUGCUAAAUAUGGGGGCAUUCUGGCUUACCCCUACCAAAGUGACCUCUUCCCCUAGAUGGAGCUGCUCUAAAUUCUCUAGAGAAUCGGGUCCUCUUGUCCUGCUACAACUGCUCUCAACCCCUCUACCAGUAACUCCAAAUCCUCCGAUCAAUCUCCAUCACUAGUUGGUACUCAGUCUCCAUCUCAACCUCUCAGGCCAUUCUAGCCUGAAUAUCGAGGUGUAACCUCGCAACAAAUCUCUGCACUCUUUCUGCAUCUAUAGGGAGUAUCAUAAAUGCAUGGAGAGAAAACUCAUAGAAUCUCGCCUCAUAGUCAGUCACAGACAUCUCACCCUACUCGAGCUGCUGGAACGGGCACCAUAACUCUUCCUCUGAGAGGGUGGAAUAUACAUGUAUAGUAGAAGCUAUGUAAACUGACCUCAAGUCAUGGAAGGAGAACCUACUAGUCUACUGAUAAGGUAAGACUGCCACCAUCUACGGGCCCUGCCCUCUAACUAGAAGGCGGUAAAAUCUACUCCAUGGGAAUCCAAUAUCCUCAUGUUAUGCAGUCUAUCCCUGCACAUGUCAAUAAAAUCCCGGACGUCCUCAUGACACUCACCUUUGAAGAUAGGAGGGUGCAGCCUAGUCCACCUAUCCAAUAACUUUUACGGAUCACCGUCCAUAACUGGUUUAGGCUCAGGUACCACUGCUAUAUCUGGUUGAGCACAGCUCGCGAGUAAGGUACCCGGAGUCUGAUACAUGGCCACUGCAUUCCCAAGAGCCUGAGUAGUAGGGGUCUGUGCUCCCCCUCCUGCUUGAGAAGUGGCUAGGUCUACGGAAAUAAUUCAGCCUGGGUCAUAAAGUCCAUGAACUGUAGCAUAUGGCCCAUGACCUCCUGGAAUCCUGGUGCCAUCAUGAAAUCCGUCAGGGUAGGUGGUGCUGCAGGCACCUCGCCUUGCUCGUCAAUCAUGGGAUCCCCUACUGAAUCCACUAGUAGUGCAACUGGGGCAGCUUCAGGAUGCCAUCAUCCCCUACCUGUGGUCAGUGCCCUCCCUGGUCUCUGCCUCAUCCUCUAGCAAUGAGGGAGAAGCUCCUCUCGAGCCUCGAACGUCUGUCGUGCGCAUCCUCACCAUCUGAGAGAGAACAAAAGAAGGGAAAUUUAGGAUACUAUGAACUGCACAAUAGAAGAUGAAUCAAGAGUAGUUUCCUAACACCCUAUAGCCUCUCGAAGAUAAGUACAGAUGUCUCCGUACCGAUCCGCGAGACUCUACCAGGUUUGCCCAUAACUUGUGAUACCUACGUGAACUUAGUGCUCUGAUACCAUGUUAUUACGAUCCAAUUUCCAAUCUAGGUCGCGAUAGUGCCCAGCACCGAGGUUAGGCAAGCCUAACUUAACCAACUAGUGGGUUCCAUUUAUGCUAUGAAAACAUUUCCAAGAUUGACUUAGAUUAAAUUUAAAACAUUCAAUAACAAUAAAUAGUUAGGCAAUUUAAAGUUAAUGUGACCAAAUUAUGUCAUAAUUAAGUGAUUACAUUCCAAAAGAAAAGUCUAAUAAUGUGUGUGCCAAGAUCUAGUGUAACGACCCGAUCAGUUAUUUUUGGAAUUUACGCCCUGAUCCCCCAUUACGUGCUUUCCAUAAGUUCAUUUAUGCUAAUUUGGUUUGUCGGGACGUUCGUUAUUGGAUUUUGGAGAAUUUCAGGACACUUAAUCCUUAAAUGAGAGCAUAAGUGUUGGAAAGUGAUCCGGAGUCAGAAUAGUGUGAAGACAACUUCGGAAUAGAAAACUGAUGGUUCUGUUAGCUCUGUUAGGUGAUUUCGGGGUUGGGAGCAUGUUCGGAAUGUAUUUUGAGGGUUCGUAGCUCAUUUAGGCUUGAAAGGACGAAGUUUGAAUUUUUGAAGUUUUUGGUCCGAUAGUGAGUUUUUGAUCCGAGGUUCGGAAUGGAAUUCCGGAAGUUGCAAUAGCUCUUUCAUGUCAUUUGGGAUGUGUGUGCAAAAUUUCAUGUCAUUCGGAUUGUUUCAGUUAGGUUUUUGAUCAAAAGUGUGUUGGAUCAAAUUUGAAGUUCUUAGGCUUAAAUCAUUGAUUAAUUCGAGUUUUCGGUGUUGUUCUAGAUAUUUUAAGGAUUGGUGCAAGUUUGAAUGAUGUUGUGGGACGUGUACGUGGGUUUGGUUGAGGUCCGGGGGCCUCUAGUAUGUUUUGGAUGCUCAACGGGGCAUUUUUAGUGUUGGAAAAAUGUUGCAGCAGCUGAAACUCUUCAAUCAUCUGGUAUUUUCGCUUCUGCGGCCUAGGAACCGCAAAAGCAUCCCUACCCAUCACAGAAGCAGCUUUUGGUCAUCCUCCAAGAACCUGCAAAACCGGUGGUGAUUCCGCAGAAGCGGAUCCACUUCUGCGAGAUGGGAAUUGUAGAAACAAAAGCUUGGAUUUUUAAAGAAGCCGCAGAAGCGGAACUGCAGAAAAGAGAAUUUCGAUGGUUAGUUUUCAAAAGUUAGAAAAAUCAAAUUGAGCUUGGGGAAGGGCGAUUUGUGAGGGUUUUGAAGAGGGGAUUAUUGGGUAAUGUUUCUUUGAUCCCUUCUAGUUAUAUUUCAUUAUUAUGUAUUUAAAUCAAUCAUUAAAAUUUGAAUUGAGGAUCAAAAAUUGGAAAUAUUGGGUGAAACUUCAUAGGCUAAACUAUUGAGUUUAAGUGGGCAUUUGAUCUCCGAUUUGGGAGAUUUCUAUAUGGUUAGACUCAUGAGAGUAAGAGGGUUUUGAAAUGUGAUAAUUAUUUGAUUUUGAGACGUUGGCAUGUGGGGCAUUUUGGUCAUUUUACCUAUUUUGUGCCUUAGCUUUAAAUUUAAUAGUGGAAUCAGUUGUUUGCAAUGUUAUUUACUAUAUGUAAUCGAAUUGAAUAUAUUUGGGCCAUUUAGAGUCGGUUACUCAUGGCAAAGAUGUGGUUCUUAGUUGAUUUUGAUCCGGUUCGAGAUAAGUGGCUUGUCUAAUUUUGUGUGGGGGACCUUCUCCCCUUAGACUUGUUAUUUGAUUAUUGCGUGCCUUGUACGUGAGGUGAUGAGCGCGUACUUAUGUGAAUUGUUGAACAUCCGAGUUUUUACUUAAAAGGAUCAAGUUGCUAUUCCCUUCUUACUUUCUUUGUAUACUUGCCAUAUAGUCUGUGAUAGCCUAGAAAAACAUGUUUAGCUGACUUAAUUGGUUUAGUUGCCUAAAUUGUCUUGUUGCAUUACGUGAAGCAUGUUAAGCUAGAUUUCCUGUUGCCUUGGUGUUUAAUUCCAUUUCUGAUUGUUCUCUUGUUAUUGGUGUGUAUUUAUAUUGGGACUACGGAUGUGGGACUUCGGUAGAUUACCCCGCCACCCCCAUGCUUGUGUACUUUGGGAUUGCGGGUUAGAUUCCUAAUAGAUCCCCCUGCACAUUGAUAGUUGGACUAUGGGAGGGUAUCUCCGGGGAUCUACUAAACAGUGAGAAAGGACUACAGGACGAUAUCUUGGGAGAUCCUCAUGGUAUCUUUGGUAUUGAGCUGUACAUUUCCAUGUGUAUUUAUUACUUCGUUUAUUUGUUGUCGACUUGUGUAUUCAGACAUAUUUCGUUGUUGUUUCCAUUAUUCUAUCUAUUUUUCAUAUUGUACAUCCUUAUUGUUAUGUUUGAUCUCAGUAGGGCCCUGACCUUCCUCGUCACUAUCCGAUCGAGGUUAGGCUUGGCACUUACUGAGUAUCGUUGUGAUGUACUCAUGCCUCUUCUAUGCAUGAUUUUCAUGUGCAGAUCUAGGUACCUCCUCUUAGGCGCAUUAUUAGUGAUCAGGGAGAGCUAUGGAGACUUGAGGUAUAUCUGCCGCAUCCGCAGACCGAAGAGUCCCUCUUAAUCUAUUUUGUAGUACUUAGCUUCCUGGUUUUCUUUGAUGUAGACGCUUCUGGAGUUUGAAUCCCUUUACUAUACAUUUCUAUAGGCUUCUGGAGUUUGAAUCCCUUUACUAUACAUUUCUAUAGGCUGUGUUGCCCGUGAGUUUUUGGGUUUUGGGAUUGUUGAUUCAAACUUGUGAUGUUGAGUCUUGUAUGUUGAGCGACACUCAUAUACAGUUUUCCUUCAGCUUAUCCAGUUUUUAUUUAUUGUUCUCUGCAAGUGAUGUUAUUUUUGCACUGUUAGGCUUACCUAGCCAUAGUGACUAGGUGCUAUCAUGACAUGUUCACGAAUGGUGAACUAGGGUCAUGACGACGUUGGUAUCAGAGCUCUAGGUUCAUAGGAGUCACGAUAUACAGGCCGGUUUAUUAGAGUCUCGAUGAUCGGUACAGAGAUGUCUAUACUUAUUUGCGAGAGGCUAUGUAACUAUUUAGGAAAAAAAUAUUCCCUUCAUUGAAUUCCUUGUCGUGCUAUAUUUUGACAUCGAUUCUAAAACUUAUGUCUUCUAUUCUCCCGCCGAUAGUGAGGACACGUUCUACUCAGGAUUAUCAGGCACCCGCGCCCCCUGCUGCAGCCGGCAGAGGUUGGGGCUGAGGCUGAGGCCAUAGAUGCGCGUGUGGUGUAGCCAAAGCACCUGCGUGAGCUACCGCCGAGGUACCGCCAGCAGAUCUAGUCGGAGUUCAGGCACCUGAUACACCUACCGCCACUACUACUCCAGCCUUCAGGAGACAUUAGCUCAGUUCAUGUCUAUGUACACCACCUUGGCUCAGGGGGAGUUGCUUCCCCUCGCUGCAACCACAUCCCAGGCUGGGGGAAGGGCUCAGACUCCUGCAGCCCACACUCCUAAGCAGAGAGUGCAUAUGGAGCAGGUCCCAGAGAUCAUUCCUGUACUGCUUGCAGUUCCAGAUCAGCCCGCGAAUGGGACAGCUGCGUCUGAGGACGAGCAACUAAGGUUGGCGAGGUUCAAGAAGUAUGAUCCUCCGGUUUUCAGGAAAUUAGCCAUAGAUGAUGACUUGGGAUUUCUAGAGGAGUGCCACUAUAUUCUUCACACUAUGGGCAUAGUAGAGUCCAGCGGGGUUUCUUUUACUGCUUUACAAUUUCGGGGAGCCGCUUAUAAUUGGUGGCGCACUUAUGAUAUAGACAGUCCAGUCGAGGCUGCUUCCCCGACUUAGACCCAGUUCUCGGAGAUGUUUAUGAGAGAGUUUUUCCCCAGAUUCUUAGAGACGCAUGGUGCGCAGAGUAUGAGCAUUUGUUCCAGGGUGCCAUGACCAUUUUAGAAUAUGCUAUCCAUUAUACCAGGUUGGCCAGGGAUGCACCGGCUUUGGUUACUGCAGUCCGCAAGAGAGUUUGCAGGUUCAUUGACGGUCUUAUCCUACCCAUCAGAUCUAGCAUGGCUUGAGAGUUGGAGAUGGACAUUGAUAGUUGGAUUAUGGGACAGUAUCCCGGGAGAUCCACUGAACAAUGAGAAAGGACUACAUGACGGUAUCUUGGGAGAUCCUCAUGGUAUCUUUGGUAUUGAGCUAUACAUUUCCGUGUGUAUUUAUUACUUUGUUAUUUGUUGUCGACUUGUGUAUUCUGACAUAUUUUGUUGUUGUUUCCAUAAUUUUAUCUGUUUUUCAUACAUUACAUCCUUAUUGUUAUGUUUUAUCCCAAUAAGGCCCUGACCUUCCUCGUUACUACCCGACCGAGGUUAGGCUUGGCACUUACUGAGUAUCGUUGUGGGCUACUCACGCCUCUUCUGCGCAUGUUUUCAUGUGCAAAUCCAGGUAUCUCCUCUCAAGCACAUUAUCAGUGAUCAGGGAGAGCUACGACGACUUGAGGUAUAUCUGCCGCUUCCGCACACCAAAGAGCCUCCCUGUUAAUCUAUCUUGUAGUACUUAGCUUCUUGUUUUUUUAUGUAGACACUUUUGGAGUUUAGAGCCCUUUAUUAUACAUUUAUAUAGCCUGUGUUGCCUGUGAGUUUUCGGGUUUUGGGAUUGUUGAUUCAAACUUGUGAUGUUGAGUUGUAUAUGUCGAGCGAGGCUUAUAUACAGUUUUCCUUAAGCUUAUCCAGUUUUUAUUUAUUAGUUUCCGCAAGUGAUGUUGUUUCCGCACUGUUAGGCUUACAUUGUCAUAGUGACUAGGUGCUGUCAUGACAUGUUCACGAAUGGUGAACUAGUGUCAUGAAAAGUUGGUGGCAAAGCUCUAAGUUCAUAGGUGUCACAGAACACAGGCCGGUUAACUAAAGUCUCGAUGAUCGGCACGGAGACGUGUAUACUUAUCUACGAGAGGCUAUGUAACUGUUUAGAAAAAAAAUAUUCACUUCAUUGACUUGUUGUUCCAUACUUUGACAUCAAUUCUAAAACUUCUGUCUUCUAUUCUUUCAGAGACGGUGAGGACACGUUCUACUCAGGAUGAUCAGGCACCUGCACCCCCUACUACAGCCGUUAGAGGCCGGGGCAGAUACCAUGGACGCGCACGUGGUAUAGCUUGAGCACCUGCGCAAGCUACCACUAAGGUACUGCCAGUAGAUCCAGCCGGAGUUCAGGAACCUGAUACGCCUACCAGCACUACUACUCCAGCCUUCAGGAGGGCAAAGGCGCUCAGGUGCGCUUAAAGUCUUAUUGCCUAUAUCUUAUCUUAAGACGAGGUCACCACCCCGCCUGCCUUAGUCUCAAAUAGGGCGCAAAUUGAGGUGAACAGACUGGACUGAACCUCCCUACGUCAAGAGCUUUUGGCUCUUCACAAGAGAGCACCAGGUCGUAACACCGGAAGACUGCGCCGUUAUUAGUUAUUAUUAAAAUGAUAUAAUUUCUUUGUAUGCUUAGUCACCAGUGGCACAACCUACGGGCUAAGUAGCGCCUUAAUGGGAGUAUUUUUUUCCUCCGCGAUAGUGUAAUACCAAGACCAGUAAGAGAGAAUGGACUUUAUCCAUUCGGACAAAACCCAUGCUUUGUAUGCUUAGUCACCAGUGGCAAAACCUACGGGUUAAGUAGCGCCUUAAUGGGAGUAUUUUUUUUCCUCCGCCCACCAGUGAAUGAUUCACUUUCAAGUUCUCGCCUCCGGCCCGGGAGAACACAGGGUCAAGCCAAGCCCUGACCCGCCUAACUGGAAUUCAUAUCUCCUUCGUCUGUACGCAAUUCAAGAUUUCGUUUGUCUUCAUGUUGGCGAUUUCUGAUGUGAAUUCGGCGGGUCAUCCCCCCUUCCUAUAGGUUCCCCCUUGCUGCGGGAGAGUCUUUCUCCAAUGAGAAAAAAGAAAUUUUUUGGGUAAGACAAGAAAGGAACUCGCCCUUUGACACCAAGGGAAAAGAGCUGAUUGUUGGCGAUGACUUGGUGAAGGGAAUCUAUGAGAGAAGGUUCUCGAACCGGGUUACGACCGAAUAGAGCGCGGAACCAACGAGUUCAGUCGAACAAGGUAACGAGUCUAAGGGAAGGAUCAAGCUUGAAAGGAAUGGACGGGCGUAGGCUUAAUAGUGAACGCAGACCCCCCUGCUUAUAGAAAACUAACGAGUUCAGUCGAACAAGGUAACGAGUCUAAGGGAAGGAUCAAGCGUCGACGUCGAUUCAUUAUUUUUAACGUCUCUAAUUCAAAACCAAACAUGAAACUUUGGUUUCAUUCGGCUCCUUUAUGGAGAUGAGUCAAUUUAUAGAUCUAAGAUGUGAACAAAAUUCGAAAAAAAAGAAUUCUACCCGGAUAACAAGCCUAAAGGUUUUCUUCUUGAUGAAAUCGAUAUUGAUGAUAGUGACGAUAUUGAUGAUAGUGACAAUCUUGGUGCUAGUGAUGAUAUCGAUCAUGACCUUGAUACGGAGCUGGAACUGCUAACUAGGAUGAAUGGGCUAACUAUGGAUAUGAUGCCAGAAAUAGACUGAUUUUAUAUCACCCUUCAAUUCAAAAGAUAGGAGAGCACCCCUUCUCCCGAAGUUACGGGGUCAUUUUGUCGAGUUCCUUCGACAUGGUUCUCUCAAGCGCCCUAGUAUACUCUACUUGUUCACCUGUGUCAGUUUCAUUAGCUCAGUUCAUAUCUAUGUACACCACCUUGGCUGAGGAGGGGUUGCUUCCCCUUGCUGCAGCCACAUCCCAGGCCAGGGGAGGGGCUCAGACUCCCGCAGCCCACACUCCUAAGCAAAGAGUGCAUAUGGAGCAGGUCCUAGAGAUCAUUCUUGUACCGCCUACAGUGCCAGAUCAUCCCGCACAUAGGGCAGCUGCGUUUAAAGACGAGCAGCAGAUGUUGGGGAGGUUCAAGAAGUAUGAUCCUCCGAUUUUCAGUAGAUUAGCGACAAAUUAUAACUUGGGAUUUCUAUAGGAGUGCCACCAAAUUCUUCGCACUAUGGGCAUAGUUGAGUCCAGUGGGGUUUCUUUUACUGCUUUUUAGUUUCAGGGAGUCGCUUAUAAUUGGUGGCUCACUUGUGAGAUAGACAGUCCAGUCGAGGCGGCUUCCCUAACUUGGACCAGUUCUUGGAGAUGUUUAUAAGAGAGUUUCUCCCCCAGAGUCUCAGGUACGCAUGGCGUAGAGUUUGAGCAUUUGCGCCAAGGUGCCAUGAGCGUUUCAGAGUAUGCUAUAUGUUAUACCAGGCUGGCCAGGGAUGCACCGGCUUUGGUUGCUACAGCACUUGAGAGAGUUUGCAAAUUUAUUGAGGGUCUUAUCCCACCCAUCAGAUCUAUCAUGGCUUGAGAGUUGGAGAUGGAUAUUCCUUAUCAGCAGGUAGUAAGCAUUGCUAGGAGGAUCAAGGGUAUGCUCGCCAGGGAGCGAGUAGAGAGAGAGAGGCCAAGAGGUCUCAAGAGUUGGGCCACUACUCUAGUUUCUGUACCCAGCAGCAUGUCGACAUGGUAGGGGUUUUGUGGGUUGCCCCGUUCAUUCAACUCUUCCAGCAGCCAGCAGCCAACAGCCAACAGUGCUCUAGCUCCGCCUAUAUCUCAGGAGUCUUACUAUGCACCUUUAGUUUCUAGCGCGCCUCCUGCAAGGGGUGCUUCUAGGGGUUAGUCCAUCAAACCUGGCCCUAUCCAGUCACAGCCGCCACAUCCUCCUAGAGCUUGUUUCGAGUGUGGCGAUACACGCCAUAUAGUUAGGGAUUGCCCCAGACUUGGUAGGGGUGCAUCCUCACAGAGUGCUCGGCCACAAUGUACGUCUCAAAGUUAUAAGGCCAUGAUCAUAGCUCCAGCUACCACCCUAUCUGCCCAACCAGCUAGGGCGGAGGUCGGGGAAAUAGAGGUCACCCUUGAGAGAGGGGCCAUGUCAGAUAUUAUGCCAUUACUGCUCGUACCGAGGUUGUUGCCUCAAAUUCUGUCAUUACAGCUAUUAUACUGGUUUUUCAAAGAGAUGUAUCGGUUCUAUUCUAUCCAAGCUCUACCUAAUUUAAUGUGUCUUCUUAUUUUGCCCCGCAUUUGUGUAUAGCCCGAGAUUCCUUGAGUUCUCGUGUUUAUGUUUCCACUUCUGUGGGAGAGUCUCUUAUUGUGGACCGCUUUUAUCGGUCGUGUUUGAUUACUAUUUGUGGUUUUGAGACCAGAGCGGACCUAUUGUUACUCGGUAUGGUUGACUUUGACCUUAUUUUGGGCAUGGACUGGUUGUCGCCCAAUCAUGCUAUUCUUGAUUGUCACGGCAAGACCGUGACGCUGGCUAUGCCAGGUAUUCCGAGUAUUAAGUGGAGUGCUACUUUAGAUCACACCACCAGUAGAGUUAUCUCUUUUCUUAGAGCUUAGCAUGUGGUUGAGAAGGGGUGUGCGGCGUAUUUAGCCUAUGUGAGAAAUGUCCGUAUUUAUACCCCUUCUAUUGAUUUGGUCCGGGUGGUACGGGAUUAUCUCGAUGUGUUUCUAGCUAAUCUUCCGGGUAUUCAAGCAGAUAGAGACAUUGAUUUUGCCAUUGAAUUAUUGUUGGGAACUCAGCCCAUUUCCAUUCCCCUGUAUUGUAUGGCUCUUCCUGAGUUGAAGAAGUUGAAACAUCGGUUUCUAAAAUUGCUUGAUAAGGGUUUUAUUCGACCCAGUUUUUCACCAUGGGGUGCUCUUGCCUUGUUUGUGAAGAAAAAGGAUGGUUCUAUGCGCAUUUGCAUCGAUUACCGCGAGUUGAACAAAGUUACAGUGAAGAACCAUUAUCCUUUGCCUCGUAUUGAUGAUCUAUUUGACCAGCUUCAGGGUGCACAAGUGUUUUCUAAGACUGAUUUGCACUCAGGUAACAAUCAGUUGAAGAUUCUGGUGCUGGACAUCCCGAAGACUGCUUUCAGGACUCGGUAUGGUCAUUACGAGUUUCUGGUUAUGUCAUUUUUGUUGACCAAUGCCCCAACAGCUUUUAUGCAUUUGAUGCACAAUGUAUUCAGGCCAUAUCUUGACUCAUUCGUCAUUGUUUUCAUAGAUGAUAUUCUUGUAUACUCCUGGGGUAAGGUAGAUCAUGAGCAAAACCUGAGGAUCGUGCGUCAUACCCUAAGAGAGAAGAAGUAUAUGAAGUUCUCAAAAUGUGAGUUUUGAUUGAGUUCUGUGGUAUUCCUAGGCCAUGUGGUAUCGAGUGAGGGCAUUCGGGUAGAUCCAAAGAAGAUGAAGGUCGUGCAGAGUUGGCCCAGGGCCUCCUCCGCUAUAAGGAUUCAUAGUUUCCGUUGCUUGGAGGGUUAUUACCAUUGUUUUGUGGAGGGGUUUUCAUCAAUUGCAGCCCCUAUGACUAGAUUGACCCAAAAGGGUGCUCCAUUUCAGUGGACAGAGGAGUGUGAGGAGAGCUUUCAUAAGCUCAAGACUGCUUUGACUACAGCCCCUAUUUUGAUAUUGCCUACUGGUUCAGGAUCUUAUACGGUUUAUUGUGAUGCCUCACUAGUUGGCCUUGGAGCGGUGUUGAUGCAGGACGGUAGGGAUAUUGCCUAUGCGUCUAGACAGUUAAAUAUACAUGAGAAGAAUUACCCCAUCCACGAUCUUGAGUUAGCUACUAUUGUUCAUGCCCUGAUGAUCUGGCCCCAUUAUUUGUACUGCAUGCCUUGUGAGAUUUACACGGAUCAUCAGAGUUUACAGCACUUGUUCAAGAAAAAAGAUCUAAACUUGCCCCAAAUGAGGUGGUUGGAGUUACUGAAGGAGGUGGUUGAAUAGAUCUACUACCCAGGCAAGGCCAAUGUGGUAGCCGAUGCCUUCAAUCGCCGGGCGGGGAGUUUGGCAUAUUUUCUAGCUUCAAAGAGGCCUAUGGCGAUGGAUGUUCAGACCUUAGCCAUCCAUUUUGUGAGAUUGGACCAUUCGGAGCCUAGUCGUGUUCUAGCUUUUGUGGUUUCUUGAUCUUGAUUGUUCGAUCAUAUCAGGGAGCGAUAGUAUGAUGUCCCUCAUUUACUUGUCCUCAGGGACACGGUUUAGCAUUGCGAUGCCAUAUGUGACCAUUGGAUAUGAUAGGGUAUUGAGGAAUCCGGGUUGGAUAUGUGUACCCAAUGCUGAUGAUAUUUGGGUGUUGAUAUUGGCAGAGGCUCAUAGUUCGCGGUAUACCAUCCAUUCGGAUGCUACGAAGAUGUAUCAGGACUUGAGACAGCACAAUUGGUGGAGGCGGAUGAACAAGGACAUAGAGGGUUUUGUAGCGAGAUACCUCAACUGUCAGCAGGUGAAGGCUGAGCACCGGAGAUCGAGUGGGUUAUUUCAGCAUAUGGAUAUUCCGGAGUGGAAAUGGGAGAGGAUCACCAUGGAUUUUAUAGUUGGACUCCUUCAGACUUUGAAAAAAUUCAAUUCCAUCUGUAUUGUUGUAGAUUGGCUAACCAAGUUCGCGCACUCUAUUCCCGUGUGUACUACUUAUUCAUCAGAGCGGUUGGCAGAGAUUUAUAUAUGGGAGAUUGUCCGACUGCAUGACAUUCUAGUUUCUAUUAUUUCAUACAGAGGUACUCAGUUUAUAUCACGGUUCUGAAGAUUCAUUCAGCAGAAGAUGGGUACUCGGGAGACGAUGAGUACGGCAUUUCACCCCCAGACGGACAGGCAGUCCGAAUACGCUAUUUAGAUUCUUGGGAAUAUGCUCCGCGUGUGUGUGAUUUAGUUUGGAGGGUCUUGGGAUCAGUUCUUGCCACUGGCGGAGUUUGCUUACAACAACAGUUAUCAGUCCAGCAUUCAGAUGGCGCCGUAUGAGGCUUUAUAUGGUAGAAGAUGCAGAUCCCCAGUUGGUUGGUUUGAGCCGGGUGAGUCCAGGCUAUUGGGCACUGAUUUGGUCAAUGAUGCGGUAGAGAAGGUUAAGAUGAUCCAGGACACACUCCGUAUAGUCAAUAGCAACGUAUUAGUCUUUAUAUGGUAGACGAUGCAGAUCCCCGGUGGGUUAGUUUGAGCAGGGUGAGGCCAGGCUAUUGGGCACUAAUUUUGUUCAGGAUGCGGUAGAGAAGGUUAAGGUGAUUCAGGAUAGACUCCGUACAGCUCAUUCGAGACAGAAGAUUUACACAGACCGGAAGGUUCGUGAUGUUUCCUAUAUGGUUGGUGAGUGGGUUCUACUUUGGGUCUCGCCUAUGAAGGGCGUCAUGAGAUUUGGGAAGAAAGGGAAGUUGAUUCCGAGAUUUAUUGGCAUUUUUGAGAUUUUGAGGCAAGUUGGGGAGGUUGCUUACGAGCUUGCCUUACCUCCCAGUUUGGCCGGGGUUCAUCCGGUAUUUCAUGUUUUAAUGCUCCGGAGGUAUCAUAGUGAUUCGUUGCACGUCUUGGAUUUCACUUCAGUCCAGUUGGACAAGGACCUAUCCUGUAUUGAGGAGCCAGUCGCUAUAUUGGAAAGGCAGGUCAGGAAGUUUGGGUCAAAGAACAUUGCUUCAGUAAAGGUUUAGUGGCAGGGUCAGACGGCCUAGGAGGCGACUUGGGAGAACAAGCGGGAUAUGCAAAAACGAUACCCUCAUCGUUUCACUACUUCAGGUAUAUUCUCUAUGCUCGUUUGAGGACAAACGAAUACUUAAGUGUAGGAGGAUUUAACAACCCGACCGGUCUUUUUUGGAAUUUACACCCUGAUCCUCAUUAACUGCAUCCCCUAUGUUCAUUUCUACUAUUUUGGUUUUUCGGGAUGUUCGGUAUUAGGUAUCGAAGAGUUUUGGGAUACUUAGUCCAUAAAUGAGAGCUAAGUGUCGGGGGUAUGUAGUUAGAGCAGUGUGAAGACGACCUUAAAAUGAAAAACUGAUGAUUCCAUUAGCUCAGUUAGGUAAUUUAAAGGUUGGGAGCGUAUUCGGAAUGUAUUUUGGGAGUCCGUAGCUCAUUUAGGCUUGUAAUGCCGAAGUUUGAAUUUUUGAAGUUUUUGGUCCGACAGUGAAUUUUUGAUCCUACGAUCAGAAUGGAAUUUCGGAUUGUAGUAGCUCCAUCAUGUCAUUAGAUAUGUGUGUGCAAAAUUUCAGGUCAUUCAGACAUGUUUUAUUUAGGUUUUUGAUCGAAAGUGUGUUUUGAUAAAAUUUGAAGUUCUUAGACUUAAAUCAUUAAUUAAUUCGAGUUUCCAAUGUUGUGUUAGGUGGCUUGAGGAUUGGUGAGAUUUUGAAUGAUGUUAAGGGACAUGUACAUGGGUUUGGUUGAGGUCCCGGGGGCUUCGGGUGUGUUUCGGAUGCUCAACAGGGUAUUUUUUGUGUUGGAAAAAUGUCGCAGCAGCUGAAACUCUUCAGUCAUCUGGUAUUUUUGCUUCUGUGGCUUGGAAAUUUCAGAAGCGGAGCCGCAGAAGUGGCCCUGCCUAUCGCAGAAACGUCUUUUGGUCAUCCUCCAGGAACCUUCAGAAGCGGUAGUGGUUCCGCAGAAGCGGAUCCGCUUCUGCGAGAUGGGAACCGCAUAAGGGGAUGCUGGGAUUUUUAAAGAAGCCGCAGAAGCAGCCAGAGUUCCGUACAAGCGGGACCACAGAAGCGGGAUUCACUAUUUAGAAAAGAGAAUUUCGAGGGUUAGUUUUCAAAAGUUAGAAAAAUCAAAUUGAGCUCGGGGAAGGG
RNAcentral lists this long non-coding RNA (17854 nucleotides) under Nicotiana benthamiana. Its description in RNAcentral is "long non-coding RNA (NBEN_LNC035670)". Lineage: Eukaryota; Viridiplantae; Streptophyta; Magnoliopsida; Solanales; Solanaceae. The record is from RNAcentral.